This 736-nucleotide ribosomal RNA is filed under the name Triticum aestivum (bread wheat). RNAcentral describes it as "partial small subunit ribosomal RNA". Lineage: Eukaryota; Viridiplantae; Streptophyta; Magnoliopsida; Poales; Poaceae. The record is from RNAcentral.
GAUCUUUAUGCAUCUAUGCCCACGGUGUAUGCAUGGGGCCGAAAGGGAAAGCAAAGCUUCGAGAGCGCAACCCGUCGCUCCACUAGCCGCCUUGUGCUUCUAGUUUAGCUCAUUCAGCGGAAGAAGAAGGAGGCAGCUAGGCUAGCUUAAUCCCAAGCACGAAAAGCAGAGGAAAAGACGAAGGAACCAGAAACCAGAGACAAGAACUGUCCCGUUCUAGUUCUACCGGCGCCAAGAAGGACGCGACGACGGUUGGGGUGGCAGACGGGGUUAGAGAUGCAACGAGUUCUGUAGCGCCUGCCUGCCCUUCGGACCGGCACGCAGCCGCUCGGCCUCUACCUAUCUAUUGUUUAAAUACUAAGACCGGCGGCGCAGCCUGUACUGGCCGCCACUCGCGCAGCCUGCGCACGACAGCCUCUACUCGCCUCCGCUCGCUCAGUUUGCGCACCGUAGCCUGUACCCGCCGCCGCUGGCACGGCCUGCGCACCGUAACCCGUACCCGCCGCCACUGGCGCGGCCAGCGCUCCUCAGGGCUUGGUCGACCUCGCGACAGUUCUCCGGUCGCUCGGCGCGGGGAAGGUGCCUAGCCACACUGUUCUUCGGGUUCCGAGGCCAGCUGGUACUUCGACGAGGCCUCCGUCUCGUUGACAAGCGACCAGGCUGCAAGUACUCGCAGCACGGGGGCCUAGGGUCGCUCGAGGGCUAGGGAACGAUGAAGUACUUCUUCCGGGCGAUC